Molecule: long non-coding RNA, 321 nt
Filed under: Equus asinus (donkey)
Lineage: Eukaryota; Metazoa; Chordata; Mammalia; Perissodactyla; Equidae
Description: lncRNA (ENSEASG00005025423.1)
Source: RNAcentral
AAGGAGUAGGUUCCUGUUGAGUCCCUGGAGCUCACCGCUUUCCCAUUGCCCCUGGAGGUCAUGGCCGCAAAUUGCAGGAAGGCCUCAGUGACAGCACACAAAGAAGAAUUCAUGGAACGAACCCUAGGAAAUGUCGUGUGCACGCUCAGACAAAGAGGAAGGGAAAGUGUGCUUCUUUGAAGGAUGUCUGCAUGUGGCAGACUCUCUGGCCACAGCAGUAAUCAAACCUACCAAGCGAGUGAGUAAUGAACAGAAAUGUCACAUAUCCAGCAGGACUCUACACACAAAGCAAUCUCCUUAUUGUCUGCCAAAACCCUGCUG